RNAcentral lists this long non-coding RNA (3767 nucleotides) under Sus scrofa (pig). RNAcentral's name for it is "lncRNA (ENSSSCG00050067249.1)". Lineage: Eukaryota; Metazoa; Chordata; Mammalia; Artiodactyla; Suidae. The record is from RNAcentral.
AUGGCUGAAAGAAAUUAAAGAAGGUGCAAGUGCUUGGAAUGACACGCCAUGUUCACAGACUGGAUGGUUUAAUGUCGACAUUUCUCUGCUACUGAAAAUGAUGCACACAUUAUACUGCAACAACUCACAAAAUCUCAUGCCAUUUUUUGAGACUUGGAAAAGAAAAUCUUAAAAUACAUGUAGAGCCCCAAAGAACCCAAAUAAAAAGAUGCUCUUGAUAGCAAAGAACAACAAUGGAGAAGUCUCAAUUCCCAGAUUCAAAACACACUGCCAAGCCACAGCAGCAAAAACGUCUACCCCUGGAAUCUAAACAGGAAGACAGACCAAUGACCCAUAAAAGAAGGACCUAAAAAUAAACUCACAUGUAUGGCCAAAUGAUCACUGCCCAGGUUCUAAGAUUCCCCAGUCAAAAAAGUACAGUCUCUUCAACAAUCAACAGAAUGAAAAGGCAAUCUAUAGGGUGGGAGGAAAUACUUGCAAAUAUUGCUUCUGGAUAAGGGACCCAUAUCCAAAAAAUACAAGAAACUAACACUCAAUUAAAACAAAACAAAACAAAACAAAACACACACGCGCACACACACACCAAAAAAGUGAAAAGCAAAGACUGUGGGCAAAUAGCUGAAUUUAAAAAUGGGUAAACACCUUGAGAAGAUAUGACCCCAUAGAAACUAUGAUGGUGAUCAAAUAUAUGUGAAAUAUAUGUUGCGCUCAAUUGGGACUCUGUGGUUAAGAGAUGCAAGCAAUUGCAUUGGGAGUGGAUAAGCAGUGACAUCCCACUGGAUAGCACAGAACACAAUAUCUACUCACUUAUGAAGGAAAAAAUAAAAAACACUAAAAAAAUUACAACUUUACUGGAAGGCUGAUUUCCAGGAAAAGCAUGCUAAUAAAUGGAUUCACAAAAUACUGCUCUUUAAGAUAAUUUAAUAUAGACGAACUGACAAUACUGAAAUCUUACCAUUAAAAACACCACUAUCAUUCACAUCAUGGUUGUUCUCCAGGCUUCAUUUUCUACAUGGUGUGUGCAGCAUGUGCCCUGAUUAAAUGUAUAGCCACACUAACAAGAGUCUUACAACAAGAGGGACUUACUUCAUGGAGAGAAACACAGAGGGAGCACCAAGUCCUUCUCACCCAGAUGGGCAGCGAGGUUGUACAAUGGUGCCGGACACCAGGCUAAGGAUGAGGGUGAACUCUGAGCUCUUACUUGCAACAUCGCCUGGGUGUGUGCUACCUAGGGUGGUCAAGUGCGAGAAUGACAGUGACACUGUCUGAUAUAAGAAUAUGCCUCUCUGAUAUUUAUCUGCUUUUGCCAUGUUGAAGUGAUGACAGCAGCACUGGCAGGGACCUUUUAAAAUGCACAGCAUCGACAGGACCUCUGGAGACCCUGGUCUUCCCGGGCAUAGACACGGAACAGGGACCUUCCCCCCUCAGUGCUCCAUACUGACAAAAUCCUGGCCGAGGGAUAGCUGCAGGUCAGGGGUCCAGAGCAUCCCCAUGGAUAACCCGGCCUGGGUCCCCCUUUGGCUUUUCUACAUAGGAAGUCAAGACCUUGGGCCACGUGGCUCUGCACCAUCUCCAGCUGAGCAACAGGAAAAUUAAGCCAACUUGGGAACAGCGCUGGUGAUGGGAGAAUGCGUGAAUGUAGACGAGCUUGCAGAGGGGAUGGAAAUUGUGUUAGGAAAAAUUGAUGAUUGUCUUGUCCGUGUAAAUAUGAAAUAUCUCAUGAGGAAACACACCACAUGUGCUCACACAUGGACCUCGCUCCCUGUCCCUCAUAACAUGUAACAACCCAAGGCAUCAACAUGAUAGACUUGUGUCCAGGGCAUGGACAUCUUGGGCAUCACUAUGAGUGGCAAAAAGCUGCAUGCUCUACACCCCCAACUCUCUUUCCAAAAGGACCCCAGGAUCUGGAGGCUCUGCAACCAAUGCCAGCAAGAAAGCCCCACAUUCUACUACACCCAGAUUGUUCGUCACUGGAGUGAUGAUCUCUGAAUACACACCGCUGCUGGUAGGCCCCUCCUUCAUCAUGGUCUAGAGAAAAGAAAACAGUGUGAGAAUCUAAGCUUCAUAGGCUCUAUGGACAAAGGAUAUUUCAUUGUAUUUCUUUUCUCAGAAAACCAAAAGGAAACUUUCCUUGAGUCCAUGGUCCCAAAGAAAACAGAGAGGUCGUCUGUGAGAAAGGCUUCAAAAUUUCCUGGAAGACCUCUCAAGUCUAUUUUGACCAAAAACUACAAAAUUCUCUUUCAAGGAGGGUAAUACUCUGCGGAGAAAAUGCUCCCAACCACACAGGCAGUGUGCAACUGACGCUAUUGUACUGAAAAUGUCUUUUUCAAUCAGUCAUUCAUUGGGAAAGGCAUUCAGUCAAAAAUCAUCCAACCCAGGAAAAAAGUAUGUCUCCAUACUUUGAACAGUACAGACUUUCACAUUUGAAUUUGCUUGAAAACAAUGAGGAAAUGACGCUAACCUUUUGUUGCAGAUAAUAAAAGAAACUUACUGUGGAGAAAGAUGACUUGUCUUCUCCAGUGAUGAUAGACUGCUCCUCCAAAAUUACGGAGAGCUUUCCUAGGAAUACAUAGAGUAAAGGUCAUGAUAUUGGUGAUGCUGCUCAGGAAUUAUUCAGGCAGCAUUGUUGGGGAGUGGUGGGUGAACACAGGGAGGGAGGGGAAGGAUGGGAGAUUAUUAAGUAUGGGCCCUUGUGCUGUUGGCCGUCUACUCCAGUGGGAUGAGGCUGGCCAAGGGGAGGUUCCUUGACAUAAUGAGAAGGGGAGCUUUAAGCUUCCUAGCUAAAGCCAACAAAAUCAUCUCAAUGUAGGCAAUUUGAAAAAAGGUAAUUUCCAAAUUCAUGUUCUGGGGACCUCCCGCUGUGGCUCAGUGUGUUAAGGACACGAAGCUGUCUCUGUGCAGAUGCAGGUUCACUCCCUAGCUUCCCUCAGGGGCUUAAGGAUCCAGGGUUGCUGCAUGCUGCAGUGUAGUGUGCACAUGUGGCCUGGAUCCGGUGUUGCCAUGUCUGGGUACAGCUGAGUCAAUCCCUCCCCUGGGAACUUCCGUAUGCCACAGGUGUGGCCGUAAGAACAUAACAAAACAAAAAUAAUUCAUGCUAUGUUUCAAGGACAGAGUCCAAUGACUCCUCCAGCCUAUUUUACAUCCCAUGACGAUUCCCACUACUUCUUGAAAUGUUACAAGACCAUUUCAUCUCCACACAUUCACAUGCCCUGCUUCUGCUCAGCAUCUCUUCUCCUUGAUUAUUUUCUUUACUUCCUUUAGUGUGAUGACACAGAUAUAACAUUUGUCCUUCGCAUAAUUGUUAACCAUACAGUUCCAUAGCCUUUUUGACUUCCACAUGCUUUAGUACCCAUCAACCCUACCUACACCCACACCUUUGUCAUCAUGCCCGACAUGACCCAUCAUAACUCACCUUCCCCUUGCCGCCAGGCCCUGGUAAUUUCUACUUCUGUUAAUAGGAAUUUGCCUACACAAGCAGAAUUACAUGAUAUUUGUCUUGCUGUGCCUGCCUUAUUUCACUCACCACAAUAGAUUUUUGUAGUAUUUGGUCCACCCAUUCCCUAACAUAUUUCGAGCUUUAACACCACUCUGUGGCUAAAGAGUAGCUCAUUCGGGGUAUCUUUGCCUUUCACUUUGCCAGUCAUCUCAUUCCUCAUCACAUUCAUCAAAGCCUUUUGUGUACUGCCCAUCUUUGGACCCCUGGGAGAAAUACGCCAGGGAGCAUUCGGGUAUGGAUUUCUCUGUGCUACAGUGGUGAGAAAUCACAU